UAUUUUAUCUUAUUCUUUACCCUUUCCUGUGAAUAAUAUUUUCCAUCACUGUGAACGUUUGUUUCAAAUCCAACAUGAUAUUUUCGCAUAAAUCCAAACGAUUCAAUCCCACCACUAUGGCUCUAUUGUCAAAAGCAAUCUCUGCCGGGUCUAUGAAUAGAUCAUUGCUAGAUAUUCCUUUCUCCAAUCAUAGGAAUAUACAAUAAAUAAAAAUAUAGAUUAGAUAGUUCGAACGUAACGUAUUAACCAAACCAUUUGAUCAGUUUGAACGCAACGAUCAGUUCAAACAACUUCAUACCUGAACCGAAUGAACUUACGUUAUAAUAUUUCUCUGAAUAAUCCUCUUUAAGUUCUUUGGAGUGCACUGACUCUUAAGGUAGAAACGCGUUACUUUCGCGUCACGUGAAAUCACGUAACAACGGGUUAUUUCACGUGACGUUCGAGAAGUGUGAGCCGGUGUAUUUCCAUCGUUUUAAAUCCGUUGGAAACAAGUCAGCGUCACGCCACGCUGUUUACGGCAUUUCGCGUAUCGUCGCGUGUAAAAGCAGACAUCAAUUCCGCGACGUCUGGCAGUUUUAAUGUCGCGUGAACAGGGCAGACAAUGGAGGAAUUAUUAAUAGAAAGUGCGAGGAAACGUACAGUGUUAUUUAACGAAAAAUCCUGCGCCUCCGUGAAUCAGAAGAUGCUACGAGAGGCUUGAGAAGAAUUUGAUCGACAGUUAAAAAUAUCUUGUAAGUACAAACAUCGUAAUUAUUUAAAAUUUCUACGUAUUUAUACAAACAAAAUCUAGAUGAAUUCAAAUAACGCUGGUUUGCUAUUGUGUUUUAUAAACUUGUUAAUCCUUUGUUUCUAAUCUUCCUCUACGAACCAUGUUUAUCUGCCACGGUACUGUGCCAUCGGAGGAGUCCAAGUAUUCGUUAAAAUAUUCGCAAAUUCGAAACGCUAUUUGAGUAAAAUUUUGUCUCAUUUAUAUUCUCAUAUUCUUUGUAGAGAAGCAAGCAGUUGUAAAAUUUCGGUAAAACAUCAGGCUCCAACUUGUCACAUUUGAUGCAGGCAGCACGCUACCAAUAUGAUUUUGUCUGCCACUUCUGCUUAUGCUUCUAACUGGUUUCUAAAGACUGUCCAGCAGUUAAAAUAGCAAAUGCAUUUUCUGCAACUCGUCUGACUCGCGACGACCUACAAUUAAUAAUCCUGUUUGCUUCAUUCAUAUCAAAUGAUAUUUGCUAUCAAUGCAUCGUUUCCUACAAUGAAAUACAGCCUCGCCAUUCACCACAAUAGGAGAGAUGCUCGUGGAACAUUGAGCUGUUUAGUUUCUAGUUUUCUUCCAAAAAAUGAUAGAAACUUGUAGUUAGCAUCAACUGAAACUAAAAGUACCGUGGAAUUAUUGUAAUUACAGAAUUUUUGAAUUAGUAGGACAUUUUUUAAGGACUCCUUUGUUGGCUGAGCAGUUGGGCUUCAAGGUUUCCAUAUAGAAUUACAAACAUCUUUUAUUAUUCCUCUGACAGUACCGAAUCCUAACUUGUAAUUAAGAACUAUAUUUUGAAGAGAAUUACCAAAAGUUUACAGUAAAAGAAGAAAUUAUUUCAACCAAAUACGCAGAAAAGAAGCGGAACAAACGGUGAAGCAGAAAAGCGGCGAAGCUGCUAAGAAAAUUAUACCGCGGGAGCAUUGGCUGUUCAGGCAAAUAACGUCUCUUUUGUCAUUUCUGGGUGCCAGAAUAACGCAUAGUAGCAUAGGAGAACCUGAAUCGCAAAUGUCGGAAAAUGAUAUAAUUCAGUAGGAAAAUAGUGGAAACAAUGAGAUUGAUACAGACGAAGGUCAGGGCAGUAUAGAAAAUGCAGACGGGAGCCAAAUCAGUUCAAUCCAGAUCAGAAAAAAAAUUCUACGGAUAACACAGAAGGGAUAGGAGUAUUAGAAAUUACAAAAAGCAAUAAAUGCCAUAAGCCUGUGUUGAAAAGUAUGGCGGAAGAAAUAAUAAAUAGCAUUAGUAGUAAUAGAAGAUGUGAAAUAAAGAGGAACUCAUAUGUUCUUUUGAAGUAUGGCAAGAAUGACAGGACAGUUGCCACGAUACGAGUAAAGUGAAAUCAAAUUCACAUUGAAUAGUGCAAUAUGACAAGCAGAGAUCCGAAAUCAACAGAAACAAGAUUUCUGUCCUGACCAACCAUCCCAUUCUCGGCCAGAAUCUUCAUAUACGUUAUGGUUGGCUGUAAUAUCAAUAAUCAUUUUAAUGAAAAUAAUUAACGAAAGAACACCUUGAAUUUUAUUAUAA
This is a long non-coding RNA of Bombus huntii, 2269 nucleotides long. RefSeq lists it as uncharacterized. NCBI's taxonomy places the organism in Eukaryota, Metazoa, Arthropoda, Insecta, Hymenoptera, Apidae. The record is from RefSeq and is a predicted model, not a curated record. The transcript has 2 exons.